GCAUAUCAAUAAGCGGAGGAAAAGAAACCAACCGGGAUUGCCUCAGUAACGGCGAGUGAAGCGGCAAGAGCUCAAAUUUGAAAGCUGGCUCCUUCGGGGUCCGCAUUGUAAUUUGCAGAGGAUGCUUCGGGUGCAGCCCCCGUCUAAGUGCCCUGGAACGGGCCGUCAUAGAGGGUGAGAAUCCCGUAUGGGGCGGGGUGUCUGCGUCCGUGUGAAGCUCCUUCGACGAGUCGAGUUGUUUGGGAAUGCAGCUCUAAAUGGGUGGUAAAUUUCAUCUAAAGCUAAAUACUGGCCGGAGACCGAUAGCGCACAAGUAGAGUGAUCGAAAGAUGAAAAGCACUUUGAAAAGAGAGUUAAACAGCACGUGAAAUUGUUGAAAGGGAAGCGCUUGCAACCAGACUCGCUCGCGGGGUUCAGCCGGGCUUCGGCCCGGUGUACUUCCCCGCGGGCGGGCCAGCGUCGGUUUGGGCGGCCGGUCAAAGGCCUCCGGAAUGUAGCGCCCUUCGGGGCGCCUUAUAGCCGGGGGUGCAAUGCGGCCAGCCUGGACCGAGGAACGCGCUUCGGCACGGACGCUGGCAUAAUGGUUGUAAACGACCCGUCUUGAAACACGGACCAAGGAGUCUAACAUCUACGCGAGUGUUCGGGUGUCAAACCCGUACGCGCAGUGAAAGCGAACGGAGGUGGGAGCCCCCUCGCGGGGCGCACCAUCGACCGAUCCUGAUGUCUUCGGAUGGAUUUGAGUACGAGCGUAGCUGUGGGGACCCGAAAGAUGGUGAACUAUGCCUGAAUAGGGCGAAGCCAGAGGAAACUCUGGUGGAGGCUCGCAGCGGUUCUGACGUGCAAAUCGAUCGUCAAAUUUGGGUAUAGGGGCGAAAGACUAAUCGAACCAUCUGGUAGCUGGUUCCUGCC
This 909-nucleotide ribosomal RNA is filed under the name Aspergillus terreus var. terreus. RNAcentral describes it as "LSU rRNA". It matches the Rfam family "Eukaryotic large subunit ribosomal RNA", at positions 38 to 962 of the family's 3401-position model. Lineage: Eukaryota; Fungi; Ascomycota; Eurotiomycetes; Eurotiales; Aspergillaceae. The record is from RNAcentral.